UUUCAGCAUAAUUUGCCAUACGGGAGUUUGACGGCGGAAGACUUGGACCUGCGAGUUGCAGUUCACUAUGGCAUCCCAUCCACGGCCUCCAUUCUUGCUUUCGACCCGAUUCAGCGCCUUUUGGCCAUUGGAACAAUGGAUGGGAGGAUUAAAGUGCUCGGUGGUGAUGGUAUUGAAGGACUCUUUAUAUCCCCGAAGCAACUGCCUUACAAAUACAUUGAGGUAUCUGUGUGCACCAUUCAUUCCCCUUGUUUAGUUACAAGGAUAAAGUAUCAAUAGUAAAGAGUUUAGGGUGAAACAUUUUUUUUUUUUUUAAUGAUAUAUU
Long non-coding RNA from Pyrus x bretschneideri (Chinese white pear), 325 nucleotides. RefSeq lists it as uncharacterized. The transcript is spliced from 2 exons. The record is from RefSeq and is a predicted model, not a curated record. NCBI's taxonomy places the organism in Eukaryota, Viridiplantae, Streptophyta, Magnoliopsida, Rosales, Rosaceae.